Molecule: ribosomal RNA, 479 nt
Filed under: uncultured bacterium
Lineage: Bacteria
Description: partial 16S ribosomal RNA
Rfam family: Bacterial small subunit ribosomal RNA
Source: RNAcentral
GAUGAACGCUGGCGGCGUGCUUAACACAUGCAAGUCGAACGAAGUGUUUAUUCAAAGUUCUUCGGGAUCGAGAAUAAAUUACUUAGUGGCGGACGGGUGAGUAACGCGUGGGUAACCUGCCUCCCAAAGGGGGAUAACAGUUGGAAACGACUGCUAAUACCGCAUAAGACCACAGCACCGCAUGUUGCCGGGGUAAAAGAUUUAUCGGGUUUAAAUGGACCCGCGUUUGGUUAGAUUGUUGGUGGGGUAAAAGCCUACCAGGUCAAAGAUCCGUAGCCGGACUGGGAGGGGGGUCCGCCCAACUGGGAAUGGGACCCCGCCCCGACACCUACGGGGGGGAGCAGUGGGGAAUAUUGGACAAUGGGCGAAAGCCUGAUCCCGCCAUGCCGCGUGAGUGAAAAAGGGCUUAGGGUUGUAAAGCUCUUAUACCCGGGAAGAAAAUGACAGGAUCGGGAGAAAAAGCCCCGGCUAACCCCGUG